Thunnus maccoyii (southern bluefin tuna) is the source of this 296-nucleotide long non-coding RNA. RefSeq lists it as uncharacterized. The record is from RefSeq and is a predicted model, not a curated record. The transcript has 3 exons. Lineage: Eukaryota; Metazoa; Chordata; Actinopteri; Scombriformes; Scombridae.
AGUAACGUGACCGUAAUCUUUGUGGCGAUGGAACAUAUCCAGUGCAAUGGUGUGACUCACUGAUGUGUUUUUAAUAGUAUUUGGACAACAACGGAGGUCUAUGGCACAGAAGAAUACACUAUAAUCAGGAUUUGGAUACACACGCAAUACUUUUCACUGCCGCAACAAAGGCAUUACAGCACACAGCCUGGUCCAAGAAAUGCUGGUGUCCAUCCACUGAGAGUUUGUUCUGACUCUGCAGAUCUUGUAAACAUCCUAAACUCCGCUCACAGAUCAUCAGAGGUAGUGACUCCUAG